CGUGCUCAUCCAUCUGACCUCGGAGACCAACCUGCUGCCAGAGCCUGGAAGCCAUCCUGGCAUGUGCCCCAACCAGCUCAGCCCCCACCUGUGGGUCGACGCCCAGAGCACCUGUGAGCGUGAGUGUACCAGGGACCAGGUGAGCACUGGCAUCUCGUGGGAUCCUGGGCCCCACCCUAGCUCUUUCCUCAUUGUGGGGAGUAGACUCCAACCCUAGGAGUCUGGGUUCCUCCACAUUCAGUUUACCUGGAUUUGUGGCCAUGACCUGUACAUGGGGCUCAAAGGAUACCCCCACCUUUUUGUCUUCUGAAGAGCAAGAACAUCUCCAAUUUCUGGACUGACUGACUUCAUCCUCACCAAUCCUGUCUCUCACCUGCCUGAGCACCACUUUUUUUUCUUAAAAAAAAAAAAAAAAAA
This 417-nucleotide long non-coding RNA is filed under the name Rattus norvegicus (Norway rat). RNAcentral's name for it is "long non-coding RNA NONRATT005301". The record is from RNAcentral. Lineage: Eukaryota; Metazoa; Chordata; Mammalia; Rodentia; Muridae.